GGGCCUGUAGCUCAGUUGGUUAGAGCAAACCGCUCAUAACGGUUCGGUCGCAGGUUCGAAUCCUGCCGGGCCCACCA
RNAcentral lists this transfer RNA (77 nucleotides) under Rhodobiaceae bacterium. RNAcentral describes it as "tRNA-Met". It matches the Rfam family "tRNA". Rfam says of the family: Transfer RNA (tRNA) molecules are approximately 80 nucleotides in length. Lineage: Bacteria; Pseudomonadati; Pseudomonadota; Alphaproteobacteria; Hyphomicrobiales; Rhodobiaceae. The record is from RNAcentral.